CCUACGGGAGGCAGCAGUGAGGAAUAUUGGUCAAUGGCCGGAAGGCUGAACCAGCCAUGCCGCGUGAAGGUCAGUGCCCUAUGGGCGUUAAACUUCUUUUGUGCGGGAGCAAUAAUGGUCACGUUUGGCCAGACGAGAGUACCGUACGAAUAAGCAUCGGCUAACUCCGUGCCCGCAGCCGCGGUAAUACGGGGGAGGCAAGCGUUAUCCGGAUUUAUUGGGUUUAAAGGGUGCGUAGGCUGGGAGGUAAGUCAGCGGUGAAAUGCCCCCGCUCAACGGGGUGAAGUGCCAUUGAUACUGGCUUGCUGGAAUGCGGAUGCCGUGGGAGGAAUGUGUGGUGUAGCGGUGAAAUGCAUAGAUAUCACACAGAACACCGAGUGCGAAGGCAUCUCACGAAUCCGCGAUUGACGCUGAUGCACGAAAGCGUGGGUAUCAAACAGGAUUAGAUACCCUAGUAGUC
This 460-nucleotide ribosomal RNA is filed under the name uncultured bacterium. RNAcentral's name for it is "partial 16S ribosomal RNA". It matches the Rfam family "Bacterial small subunit ribosomal RNA", at positions 338 to 795 of the family's 1533-position model. The record is from RNAcentral.